AGCGAACGCUGGCGGCAGGCUUAACACAUGCAAGUCGAGCGGGCGUAGCAAUACGUCAGCGGCAGACGGGUGAGUAACGCGUGGGAACGUACCUUUUGGUUCGGAACAACACAGGGAAACUUGUGCUAAUACCGGAUAAGCCCUUACGGGGAAAGAUUUAUCGCCGAAAGAUCGGCCCGCGUCUGAUUAGCUAGUUGGUGAGGUAACGGCUCACCAAGGCGACGAUCAGUAGCUGGUCUGAGAGGAUGAUCCGCACAUUGGGACUGAGACACGGCCCAAACUCCUACGGGAGGCAGCAGUGGGGAAUAUUGGACAAUGGGCGCAAGCCUGAUCCAGCCAUGCCGCGUGAGUGAUGAAGGCCCUAGGGUUGUAAAGCUCUUUUGUGCGGGAGGAUAUGACGGUACCGCGAAGAAUAAGCCCGGCUAACUCGUGCCAGCAGCCGCGGUAAU
RNAcentral lists this ribosomal RNA (449 nucleotides) under uncultured bacterium. RNAcentral's name for it is "bacterial SSU rRNA". It matches the Rfam family "Bacterial small subunit ribosomal RNA", at positions 29 to 524 of the family's 1533-position model. The record is from RNAcentral.